AUACGGAGGGUGCGAGCGUUAAUCGGAAUUACUGGGCGUAAAGCGUGCGUAGGCGGUUUGGUCAGUCAGCCGUGAAAGCCCCGGGCUUAACCUGGGAAUGGCGGUUGAGACGGCUGGACUUGAGUGGGCUAGAGGAUCGUGGAAUUCCGGGUGUAGCGGUGAAAUGCGUAGAGAUCCGGAGGAACACCGAUGGCGAAGGCAGCGGUCUGGGGCCACACUGACGCUGAGGCACGACAGCGUGGGGAGCAAACAGGAUUAGAUACCCUGGUAGUCCACGCGGUAAACGAUGAGCACUAGACGUCGGGCGGGUGACCGUCCGGUGUCGCAGCUAACGCGCUAAGUGCUCCGCCUGGGGAGUACGGCCGCAAGGUUGAA
RNAcentral lists this ribosomal RNA (375 nucleotides) under uncultured bacterium. RNAcentral's name for it is "bacterial SSU rRNA". It matches the Rfam family "Bacterial small subunit ribosomal RNA", at positions 523 to 898 of the family's 1533-position model. The record is from RNAcentral.